RNAcentral lists this ribosomal RNA (750 nucleotides) under uncultured bacterium. Its description in RNAcentral is "bacterial SSU rRNA". It matches the Rfam family "Bacterial small subunit ribosomal RNA", at positions 75 to 844 of the family's 1533-position model. The record is from RNAcentral.
GGAGCUUGCUCCUCUGAUCAGUGGCGAACGGGUGAGUAACACGUGAGCAACCUGCCCCAGACUCUGGGAUAACAGUUGGAAACAGCUGCUAAUACCGGAUACGAGACGGAGAGGCAUCUCUACCGUCUGGAAAGUUUUUCGGUCUGGGAUGGACUCGCGGCCUAUCAGCUAGUUGGUGAGGUAAUGGCUCACCAAGGCGACGACGGGUAGCCGGCCUGAGAGGGCGACCGGCCACACUGGGACUGAGACACGGCCCAGACUCCUACGGGAGGCAGCAGUGGGGAAUAUUGCACAAUGGGCGAAAGCUUGAUGCAGCGACGCCGCGUGAGGGAUGACGGCCUUCGGGUUGUAAACCUCUUUCAGCAGGGAAGAAGCGAAAGUGACGGUACCUGCAGAAGAAGCACCGGCUAACUACGUGCCAGCAGCCGCGGUAAUACGUAGGGUGCGAGCGUUGUCCGGAAUUAUUGGGCGUAAAGAGCUUGUAGGCGGUUUGUCGCGUCUGCAGUGAAAAUCCCGAGGCUCAACCCUCGGACUUGCUGUGGGUACGGGCAGACUAGAGUAUGGUAGGGGAGACCGGAAUUCCUGGUGUAGCGGUGGAAUGCGCAGAUAUCAGGAGGAACACCGAUGGCGAAGGCAGGUCUCUGGGCCAUAACUGACGCUGAGAAGCGAAAGCAUGGGGAGCGAACAGGAUUAGAUACCCUGGUAGUCCAUGCCGUAAACGUUGGGCGCUAGGUGUGGGGCUCAUUCCAC